This 253-nucleotide long non-coding RNA is filed under the name Hordeum vulgare. RNAcentral describes it as "long non-coding RNA (HVUL_LNC009503)". Lineage: Eukaryota; Viridiplantae; Streptophyta; Magnoliopsida; Poales; Poaceae. The record is from RNAcentral.
UAUGAGUAACUCCGUUGCUCAAAGAUGACCGGUGUUGGGGCAUAGUUUAUGCCUAAGUAUUUUUAGUGAUUGAUGACAGUACCGCAAAGGACUAACCGUGUGUGUUAAGAUUUCAGAUAACACACGUCAACGGCACAAGACGACUCGCCCCCUCUUUCGUGGAACAGAAGCACGGUGUUCUCUACGAUUCUCUUUAUUUGAGGAUAGGAAAGCCGUACUAUUAAGAGGGGAACCGUAGUGGAAAGGUUUGGGU